Long non-coding RNA from Dermochelys coriacea (leatherback sea turtle), 4344 nucleotides. RefSeq lists it as uncharacterized. NCBI's taxonomy places the organism in Eukaryota, Metazoa, Chordata, Testudines, Dermochelyidae. The transcript has 3 exons. The record is from RefSeq and is a predicted model, not a curated record.
CCCAACAGAACUCAGGCACUAUGUUAUCUUGAACAGCCUGCAGAAGGUGCAGUGGCCACAUAGUCUGCAUCAUUACCCCCAAGAGGUCUCCUAAAGGAACAAAACAGGGACAAUUGAAGCAUAUUCUUCUCAAGCAACACAACACUUUUGUGGUGAGAGCUGAAGGAAAUGCAUUGUUUGGAUUAGAAUAUUUUUUUCAUUAACAGGAUGUUCAAAAUAAACAAAAUUCACAGUGAUUCACGGUGCCUGUGGCUGUAUCAGGUUAACACUGGUAUGCUUCCAUACUUGAGCUCAUCUUCACUAAUCAAUCAGAAACACACUUGCUGGCAAGAAAGGUCACAUCAUUAAUCACACAACAGCAAUGUUUUGACAACAAACAGAUAUCUACAUACAGCCAAAUUUCACUCUCAGUUACAGAGGUUUAAUGCGCAACAUACUGAAGACGAUGGGUGCGAGAGAGAGAGAGAGAGAGAUGAAGCUGCAGCGUCUCCCAUAAUUACGCCUGUGUAUACCAGAUGCUGGCAGCAGAAGCCAAUAGCGCUAUGUAGACGCUUUGCUCCAUUGCACUGAGAAGGGAAGGAGAGCAUUACAUCACUCUGCAACUUCCCCUGCAGGCUGUUUGAAGAACAAACAGCAAAUUAAAAGACCCAAGGAGUCCUUUAACCUUCUGACCCCUGUACAGCUCUGUUAGCUAAUAGUUUUUUUAUGCAUAGUGGUCAAUGCUAAAUCCCAGAUUAGAAUUUGUAUAUUACUUAUUUAAGGGCUUGAUCCUGCAGUUUGUACUCAUGUGAGUAAUCCUACAUGCAUGAGUAGUCUCACUGACUCACAUGCAUAGGAAUUACUCAUGUGAGUAAGAGUUGGGGUCUUAAUGGAAUCUAUUCUCCCUCCAAUACAUGCAUUUAAGUCUCAUUUGUGCUCAUGGGAGCUAUGCAUAUUCAACAAGGGGAGAAUAGAUUCCCUUAAUCUGAUUAAAUGCAGGGAAUUUGAUUGUUAUGUUUGAUUUAAUGAUAUGUUGUUGAGGGUAGACUGGGCUGUAAUGUUCAAAUUAUUCUAUGGAUUUAGCCCUUUUAUCUGUGUGAAUUUUCCAGGAACAUCAUAUUUUUUACAUACUUGUUUUUGGUUCCAAAGUUGAUUGCUGAAUUUUUAUAUAAACAAAUUUCAGCCUGGCAGCUGUUUGUGAACUAUGAGCUAUGAUUGCUUCUUUGAGAAUUCUGUGUCCCAAAUAAGAAGAAUUGUUGUGGUAGAUGUCUCAGCCUGUAUACUAUAGAAUUUCAUGGACCCAAGUCAUCACUGCAUUACUCCAGUUUUAUGUCAUAGUAAGUUCACUGAAUGGAGUUACAAUUGUAAAACUGGAGUAAUGUUGUGAUGGAUCAGGCCCAGUGUCCAUUGCUGUGGUGACUGUCCUUCCCACAUACAACAAUAUACUGUAUCUACCAUGCACAUUCAUUGAAUUUGCCAGUCUACGUUUCCUGAAAGAAGCCCUUUAAUGAACACUUGAAGUUCAGUGGGUUUGAUGCUAAUAUUUGCUACAUGUUGGAAUAUCUACCUGUUGGAAAAGUGUAGAAUAUUACACAAUAAAUAUAAAAAAACUGGUCUAGUGCUGACUCAAAAAUCAAUGGAUGAGUGGAUAGGUAACCACCAGUUUAGAAAUGCAGGAAAUCUUUGUAUUAUUGCAAUAAAAGUGGCCCCCAAUUUUUUUUUAAAAAAAUCCUCUGCCAAAGAGAUGGAGAGAGAGAUAUUAAGCCACUGGAAACAUAGACUAAAAAUUGACACAGAGGCUGCAGUGGCUUAAUACAUUCGACAGAGCAAUGACCCAAAAGCAAGUCAUGAACGGAGUCGCCACGUUAAGGGAGUCGUCACAGCAUCACCAAUGUGCAAACAACAUUUCAGAGUUAGGGAGGUCCUUGUGGGACAGCCUAACAGACUUUGGCCUUGCCAUCAUUGUUCCUCCCAGCUUUAGGAAGAGAAACUUGAAGCUAGGAUAACACACAUUUGGCAGGAUACCUAUGUUGCAUCUGACAUUACUGCCUGUGUGUCCAUCACCUUUCACAUAGCUAUACAACACCAACCCACCAGUUGCUCCAAACAAUGCUGAGAGAAUGGCGUUCAUUAGAACAAACAAAUAAAAUGGCUAUAUGACACUUCUAUUGCAAGUAAAAUUUUGUGACACUUUCUGCUUCUACAUACAUUCUUGGAAACAAAUAUUUGCUAGUACAAAUAUCCACAAAAAAGAGAAGGAAAGAGCUAAUGAAUGCUGUUGCAGAAAAAUUCUAAUUAGAAUCCACAAAAUGUUCAUGAAUAAUAUUCCUUCCUAUCUGUCUAGCUCUAGUGCGGAAUACACUUUGCCUUAUGCCAUUACUGACUCCAGGAAACAAUAAGCAAUAUGAAAAUAGAAACAAUUUGGCAAUUAAUUACAUCAUUACCACCCUUUUCAAUUAGGUCCUCUAUUUCUUUGGUAUACUGUAAAAUUUAACUCAUAAUUAUGCUUUAGUUCAUUUUUGUUUAUUUAACACUACAAUAAGAUCAAAACAGAAAGCCAUCAGAAUGCAAAAUGCUAGGUGCAUUUCCAUGUUGUAAAUGUUGUAUUUGAGCUUUUAUAACAAAAUGUAGUAUUUUGUACCAUUCCAUUUAAAAUGUAUCUGGCUAAGCUCCAACACUCUUUCACUGUAAACAGGAACUUCCUUGGAGGACAAAUAAUCACACUUAAUGACAUAAAAGAUUAUAAUGACAUAAAAUAAUGUUCCAAAUACAUAGCAAAAUUAAACAUUGCAAGAUUAUUUUCUUCUUUGAAGUCUUUCACCAGAUGGUGAAAAGUGCUGAAAUCAUAAGUCUGAAUGGGAAGGGAAAAUGUUUCCACAAUCCUUUCUUGAUGCUAGUGUCAGCAUGUAUAAUCUUUACAUGUGGCUAUACAAAAUGGCAGCUCAUACCUUCUUGGAGCCAAGUGUUUGUGCUCAAGAUAAAUUUCCAUUCUGAGGUGUUCUAAUGAAACUUGUUCUGAAUCUGAGGCAGGGAAUCCCCUGAUACAUUUCAUUAGCCAUGUCAACCAGAUCUAGUCAUAAAUGAGAACAAAUAAGCACAUCAGCAGAAGUUACUGGGGUAAUUUGGAAACUGUUACUGACCUAUUUUCAGACACCAUAUAAAGGAAGAGCUGUGUCAUUAAAUUAGUGCACUAUAAUUUUAUUUUGAUACAGAAAUAGAGUUCAUAUUUUAUCAAAAAAAGAUACCCUGAUGCAUCUGUGACUUGAAGAUGUGUGGUUAAAUAGUUAAAUGAAAGAGGGUCUAAUGGCUUCCUUAGAAGAAAGAGCUUAUGCACCUAAUGAGGAUUAGAAAAAAGAAUCUGCCAAUUGCUGUACAGUGUGAAGUGACCACAAAGCAAGAGUGAAUUUGUAUCUCUUAGCACUGUUCACAUUCUUGUCUGAAGAAUUCUACAAAGUUGGCUUCCAUAAUAUUCCAUGGACUGUUUUUGUGGACUUCCUGGUGGAAAAUGUUGCUGAAUAUAGCAUGAUUUUGUAGCAGAAGUGGACAAAAAUUAAUAGCAAUUAAAAAAAUAGACUACAUUGUGCGUAAAUAUUCCCUAGUGCAAGUUAUACGGUAUGGAUGGGAUUUUUAAAAGCUGUCAGCUUUGGCUUAACUCUGCUCUUAUUGAAGCCAAUGGAAAUUUCAGCACUGGCUUCAGCUGGAGCAGAGUUAAGCCAACACUGAGUUCUUUUGAAAAUUCAGCCUCAUUUCUUCAAACUUUCUGACUUUAACAUUUUAGGACUCUAAAGGCCAUAUUGUACCUUAUGUGGCCUAUUGUACAUGUGGCUCAUUGUGCUCAUGGCAUUUCCUAUGAAUUCUUUCCGCUAAGAUUGGGUUUUCUUACUAUUAAAGUAAUAGAUCCCUGCCCUGAUAGCCACAUCUGGAUCUUGAAGGAUCUACAGGACUCACAAGAUUAUGAGCUUGGAGGCUCUAAGCAUCUGCCGUGGCUCCCAAUUUCUAACCUCCCUCCGGGCAGCAUCACUCCUUUAGGAAGCCAAAGACUCCUUUAUGGACUAACCUAUGCAUGGGAGUUCUUAUUCUGAGCUGAAGCUGUUAUGAACUUGUAAUCACAGACUGGUUUGAAGACUAGCUGCUAUCUGAGCCCUUGCUGGAGUUGGGGUGUGUGUGUGUGUGUGUGUGUGUGUGUGUGUGUGUGAGAGAGACCUCCGAUAAGCUUAUUAACAGGUGUGUAGGUUCUUUUAUUGUUUUUAAUAUGUUUUCUAUGUAGUGCCUUAAGAAUAAACCUUAAAAAUAAAUGUGUUUGCUUAGAAAGAGUUGUGUGUUAACCUAUAACUGUGGGCAAUUACACUGUUUAUAGUCUCUGAA